Molecule: long non-coding RNA, 253 nt
Filed under: Lathyrus oleraceus (garden pea)
Lineage: Eukaryota; Viridiplantae; Streptophyta; Magnoliopsida; Fabales; Fabaceae
Description: Pisum sativum (pea) long non-coding RNA (PSAT_LNC041533)
Source: RNAcentral
UUCUUCUUCUUCUUUUUUCUUUUUGAUCAAUGAGUUGAAGGUUGAUAAGUUAGCAUUGAUUAGGGAGACUUAACCUUCCUUGAUUCAAAACUAAUUCAUCUUGAUCAAUUGAUCAAGUGAAUGGCUUUGCAUUAAGGAUAGGUUGUUUCCUAAAUCAUGCAAAAGACUUAAACCAAUACAAGAUCAAUUCUCUUCUUCUUUUUGGCAUGGCAAGUUGUUGGAACUUGGUUCACUAAUCAAGACUUCUAACUUG